AGUCUGCAACCCGACUACAUGAAGCUGGAAUCGCUAGUAAUCGCGAACCAGAAUGUCGCGGUGAAUACGUUCCCGGGUCUUGUACACACCGCCCGUCACACCAUGGGAGUCGGAAAUGCCCGAAGUCAGUGACCCAACCGCAAGGAGGGAGCUGCCGAAGGUGGAGCCGGUAACUGGGGUGAAGUCGUAACAAGGUAUC
Molecule: ribosomal RNA, 199 nt
Filed under: uncultured bacterium
Lineage: Bacteria
Description: partial 16S ribosomal RNA
Rfam family: Bacterial small subunit ribosomal RNA
Source: RNAcentral